This 2114-nucleotide long non-coding RNA is filed under the name Panax ginseng (ginseng). RNAcentral describes it as "long non-coding RNA (PGIN_LNC004381)". The record is from RNAcentral. Lineage: Eukaryota; Viridiplantae; Streptophyta; Magnoliopsida; Apiales; Araliaceae.
UUAUACUCCAUUGAUUCGCACAUAACACAUUUACUAUACCUUCUUGGAUUGGGACUUUUAGGAAAGAUAUAUAUCCCUCCUGUCCUUACUUUCUAUACACAAACUUUUCCUUUUAAUCUCAUUCCCGGCUUAUCUCCGGUAUUAUCAAAAUUAUCUUUUUUUAUUUUAUAGGCGACAAAAGUUGUCUUUUGCCCCUUCAUUAUCCUAGCUAUUACUAACGUUGUUACAAGGUCAUUUGAUUUUCUAAAUCCUAGCGAUAGGACCGCUUCGAAGUCUUUAACGUUCGACGUUAGAUUAUCUGGUUGAUUUUUCGCGGCUGGUAAUUCGUUCUGCAUAGCUUGAUCGUCCAUAUUCGCAAAAAUUCUGUGUCAGGUCUGGUUGUCCUCCAGCUUUGUUCACAAGUCCUUUUAUCCUUUGGUUUCGUUUUCGUUUUGACGACAAUAUCGUAAAUUAUUCUUACAUUCUAGCCUUAUCGUAAACGCUUAACAUAUAACUCAAAACUUUCUAUUCAACUAAUCGUGUACUCAAAAUAUUAGAUUUUGAAAACUCAGUUUACUGUAUAACUAGUGAUCAGAUAAAUAUCUAUUAUCUUUAUACCAACUUAUCCCAUUAAUCCAACAUAAACCCAUAUUCAUAACACUUGACACACCAUAACACAUAUUGCUUUAAACAUUCGCUAUCCCUUUGUGACUCAAGAGUCGGGAAUCGCUGCCAUAACUUAUACAAAAUAUUACAUUAUACCAAUCAUACCUAUCAUAUAUACCACCUAAAAUUAUACAUAUUCAACUAAUACUAACACUACCUAUUCCUUACACCUUCACUAACGAUGAAUUACUUAGUAACCUAUCUAUUCCUAUUAUCCUCAAUAUCCAUUCACACAUAACUGUAUCAAGUUUGUCACAACUUUCAACACCUUAUGAGUUUAAGAACUCAUCACAAACAUAUGAGUUUAAGAACUCUACAUUGACCACUUAUAAUCCUUUAGCUAUACUUUACCUAUCAGUUGUACUUAGCGUUUCUUGAUCCAGUACUAUACUUUCUAAAUUAACCACCUCUUUGAGGUAGCUUUCAAUGUGAGCCUCUAUUGCAGCUAUUGGCUUUGAUAUUGGCUCGGUCAUGGAUGUUGACUUAGUCUUUACAACUUAAGAGUAUCCUAAUUCUAUUCCUUUUUAACACCUACACACAAAAUUAUCUUGACUAGCAAAUAAUAAAUACACACAGUACAUAAUAGUUUUAUAAGUUAUCUUUUAUUUUGUUUGAUAAUGAAUUUAUUCAAUUCAUCUCCUUUUUAAACUCUAUAUGAGUUAUUUAUAUUUUCAACGUUUCCCCCUAUUCUAAGGUUAUAGCCUAAGGUCUAACCCACCUAAGGUUUCUAACCCUAUAGCUCUGAUACCAACUUGUAGAGUCCCCGAAUCCAGAUACUUGAAACCCAAACUCGGUACUUUACGAUACCAUUUCUAUGAGCGGAAUAAUACUAAUAAUAAUAACAAUAAUAUAAAUUUCAAACUUAUCUUACAUUUAUCAGAGUCUAAUCCCAAGUACGCAACCUUUACUACAUUCUUUACAUGAUAUAUAAUACAUAUCAUUAACUUAAUACAGUCUAUCUAUUACAAAAGAUACCAAUAACAGAUUCUGUUUGCUUUCCUUUUUCACUUGUUCCUGGCCGAGCCUUCUACCUUUUCACACUUAGCUGAAAACAUUUAAAUUAAGCAAGGAUGAGCAUUUGAGUGCCCAGCAAGUAUUAUAUAUAUAUAAGCUGAAAGAAUUUAAAUGUUUUCUUUAUAAUAUUCUUCUACAACCAGUCAAUAGUUGUGAAGUAAUCAGUACCAAUAAUAAUAACAUAACAACCCUCGUUCAAGUUUUUGAAACUAUGUAUUGUUUAUAUACAAGGUUUUUUUUUGUGACAUAUCAUGAACAUUGUUUUCAUUUUCGAAAAGGUUAAACAGAAAUUCAUCUGUAAACCAGCAUUGCUUACGGGCCUGAGGGUGUACAGUCCAUGCGCCCUGUAUUGAUUAAUACUACAUUGCUAGAACGAUAUUAUCGUUCAUCCUUUGUCCGCCGUAGCGCAUAAAAAUUUUUCCAUUAUCGGGAUGUUCAUUUCUGUCGGGUUUUCA